RNAcentral lists this ribosomal RNA (704 nucleotides) under uncultured dinoflagellate. RNAcentral describes it as "LSU rRNA". It matches the Rfam family "Eukaryotic large subunit ribosomal RNA", at positions 43 to 651 of the family's 3401-position model. The record is from RNAcentral. Lineage: Eukaryota; Dinophyceae.
UAAGUAAGCGGAGGAAGCUAAACUAAACAGGACUUUCUGAGUAAUGGCGAAUGAACAGGAAAUUGCACAGCAUGGGAAAUGGAGCCUUUGGCUUUGAUGUGUAGUGUGGAUCUGUGUUGCCAACAAGGGAGCAGAUAUAAGCCUCUUGGAACAGAGCACUAAUGAAGGUGAGAGUCCUUGUAGAGUAUCUGCAACCGCUUGUGCACGGCAUGCAAUAUGAGAGUCACGUUCCUUGGGAUUGGAGCGCAAAGUGGGUGGUAAGCUUCAUCUAAUGCUCUAUAUGUAUUCGAGACCAAUAGUGCACAAGUACCAUGAGGGAAAAAUGAAAAGGACUUUGGAAAGAGAGUUAAAAGUAAUUGAACUUGCUGAAUGGGAAGCUGAUGGGAGCAGUGAAGCUGAGCAAUUCUUCCACAUCUUGCACAUUGCAGGUCAGCUCCCAUGUACAUGGAACCAGAUCUGUGCAUGGUGCUUUUUGUGGUGUCUUUUGCUCUGUCUGUCAUAAGCGAUUCUCAAGUACGGAAUCUUGCCGCAUAAUGCACUGCCUUGCUGUGGGAAGGCAAUGAUGUGCUGCUUAACUCAAUUGAGAAUUCAUGAUGCAUUGUUCAAAUAUGCUGCGCGUUGUCUGGCACCUUGCGCUUGCACUUGCCUUGCCUUCUCGUAGGUAGCGAACAAUUGAAAGUGACAACAUGAUUUCAUCUGACCCG